This is a long non-coding RNA of Cucumis sativus (cucumber), 1139 nucleotides long. RefSeq lists it as uncharacterized. The transcript is spliced from 3 exons. Lineage: Eukaryota; Viridiplantae; Streptophyta; Magnoliopsida; Cucurbitales; Cucurbitaceae. The record is from RefSeq and is a predicted model, not a curated record.
UCUAAAUAUACACCUUGCCCUGACUUCGUCGUGCACGCCGUUACAACCCCUCGUCGCACACGCCGCAACUCUUCUUUCCACGUAGCAUGCCACACGCUGCCGCCAAGUUUUUUCAAGGUAACCUUCUCUAUCGACUUGGUGCUAGAUAAAUGAUAUGGGGUUCGUGAGGCGGGGUUUUCUAGCAUAGGGGAUUACAAGAGCUUUACAAUGAUUGCUGAAACAUAGACCAUACUGAUAAGCUUUGAACAUUCUCUAAUUACAUGAAAUCGAUUCAAAGAAAAACAAUUUGAAACGACGGAUACCGAAAUCAAUUCAACCAAAAUCGUCAACAUAGUCGAAGUAGAAGAAGGUCUUUUUCUUUCAUUACACUCCUAUGGCCGACGAUUUAUAGCGUAUAAUUCUUCUCUAUUGUUGCUUUCAAAUUUCAAUCUGUGAUGCAGUGUACUUGGGAGUAGAAGACGUGGUACGGUGGGAGAAAUGGAACAAUCAAAGAUAUGGUUGUUAGAAGUUUUCCUUUUUUACAAUGAUAGAGAAUAUGUCUAUGAUUGAAGAAUAUGGGAAGCUACCAAGACUUACUAUUGUAUUACAAAGGUCGUGAACCAAGAAAGAGCAACUUCUUAAACUUCUCCUUCCGCUUCAACUGAAGCUCUUGCAUGAGCCUGUUGUUUGAGGAGAAUAAAUACUUCAAUCUUGUACCAGGCAGGUUUUGAACAUCAUGAGUUGGAUGGAAGUCACAAGAGAUCGUUCGGAAUAAGUCAUUCUACGGGAGAAGAGUCGGACCGAUUAGUUGUUUCGGUGUGAAUUUAUUCUAAUUCAACCCAGCCCAACUAAUAUUUAUGAAAGUAUGCUUUAUAAGUAUUACCUUUCACCAAAAUAUAAGAUGAAUGUCGGAUGACAAUCACAUAUAUACAUAUACCACGUAGAAGUAUAUACUUUGUAGACAACUUGCAUCAUUAAACCAAACUUAAGUUAAAGUUUGCAAACAAUUAGUUUCCAAGACAAACUUUGAGUUUGAAAACAAUAUAGAAAGGUCAAGAAAUAUGUCCAAGACAAACUUCACUUCCACUUUAGUUAGGGCACUCAAUUCUUGUAAUUCUCUCUCAAAUUCAUCAAUAAAACUCUCUCCUUUAAUCCAUCAA